GUGUAACUGAGAUGGCUCACUUGGUAGAGCAUGAGACUCUUAAUAUCAGAGUCGUGGGUUUGAUCCCCAUGUUGGACA
Non-coding RNA from Podarcis lilfordi (Lilford's wall lizard), 78 nucleotides. The record is from the annotation of a GenBank genome assembly. Lineage: Eukaryota; Metazoa; Chordata; Lepidosauria; Squamata; Lacertidae.